GCCCUCCACUUUGGGAUAACUCCGGGAAACCGGGGCUAAUACCGAAUAUUGAAGCAUAAGCGGCAUCGCUGAGCUUUGAAAGAAUUUCGGUGGAGGAUGACUUCGCGGCCUAUCAGCUUGUUGGUGAGGUAAUGGCUCACCAAGGCUACGACGGGUAUCCGGCCUGAGAGGGCGACCGGACACACUGGGACUGAGACACGGCCCAGACUCCUACGGGAGGCAGCAGUGGGGAAUAUUGGGCAAUGGACGCAAGUCUGACCCAGCGACGCCGCGUGAGGGAUGAAGGCCUUCGGGUUGUAAACCUCUUUCAGUAGGGAAGAAGCGAAAGUGACGGUACCUACAAAAGAAGCACCGGCUAACUAUGUGCCAGCAGCCGCGGUAAUACAUAGGGUGCAAGCGUUGUCCGGAUUUAUUGGGCGUAAAGAACUCGUAGGUGGUUUGUUACGUCGGAUGUGAAACUCUGGGGCUCAACCCCAGACCUGCAUCCGAUACGGGCAGACUAGAGUGUGGUAGGGGAGACUGGAAUUCCUGGUGUAGCGGUGGAAUGCGCAGAUAUCAGGAGGAACACCAAUGGCGAAGGCAGGUCUCUGGGCCAUUACUGACACUGAGGAGUGAAAGUGUGGGGAGCGAACAGGAUUAGAUACCCUGGUAGUCCACACCGUAAACGAUGGACGCUAGUUGUGGGGACCUUCCACGGUUUCUGCGACGCAGCUAACGCAUUAAGCGUCCCGCCUGGGGAGUACGAUCGCAAGAUUAAAACUCAAAGGAAUUGACGGGGCCCCGCACAAGCAGCGGAGCAUGCGGCUUAAUUCGACGCAACGCGAAGAACCUUACCAAGGCUUGACAUAUAGGGAAAAGCAGCAGAGAUGUUGUGUCCGCAAGGGCCCUAUACAGGUGGUGCAUGGUUGUCGUCAGCUCGUGUCGUGAGAUGUUGGGUUAAGUCCCGCAACGAGCGCAACCCUCAUUCUGUGUUGCCAGCAUUUAGUUGGGGACUCACAGGAGACUGCCGUGGUUAACACGGAGGAAGGUGGGGAUGACGUCAAAUCAUCAUGCCCCUUAUGUCUUGGGCUGCACGCAUGCUACAAUGGCUGGUACAAACGGCUGCAAUACCGCAAGGUUGAGCGAAUCCGAAAAAGCCAGUCUCAGUUCGGAUUGGGGUUUGCAACUCGACCCCAUGAAGUC
RNAcentral lists this ribosomal RNA (1182 nucleotides) under uncultured bacterium. Its description in RNAcentral is "bacterial SSU rRNA". It matches the Rfam family "Bacterial small subunit ribosomal RNA", at positions 128 to 1327 of the family's 1533-position model. The record is from RNAcentral.